GUGACCUCAAAUCAGGUAGGACUACCCGCUGAACUUAAGCAUAUCAAUAAGCGGAGGAAAAGAAACUAACAAGGAUUCCCCUAGUAACUGCGAGUGAAGCGGGAAAAGCUCAAAUGUAAAAUCUGGCGGUCUUAUGGCUGUCCGAGUUGUAAUCUAGAGAAGUGUUAUCCGCGCUGGACCGUGUACAAGUCUCCUGGAAUGGAGCAUCAUAGAGGGUGAGAAUCCCGUCUUUGACAUGGACUGCCAGGGCUUUGUGAUGCGCUCUCAAAGAGUCGAGUUGUUUGGGAAUGCAGCUCAAGAUGGGUGGUAAAUUCCAUCUAAAGCUAAAUAUCGGCGAGAGACCGAUAGCGAACCAGUACCGUGAGGGAAAGAUGAUAAGAACCUUGG
This 387-nucleotide ribosomal RNA is filed under the name uncultured fungus. RNAcentral describes it as "eukaryotic LSU rRNA". It matches the Rfam family "Eukaryotic large subunit ribosomal RNA", at positions 1 to 379 of the family's 3401-position model. Lineage: Eukaryota; Fungi. The record is from RNAcentral.